UACGAGUGCUCCAAGCGUUAUCCGGAAUUAUUGGGCGUAAAGGGUGUGUAGGUGGUUGCGUUAGUCUUUUGUUAAAUUCUUCGGCUUAACCGGGGGCAUGCGAAAGAAACGGCACAACUAGAGGAUGCGAGAGGCAAAUAGAACUCAUGGAGUAGGGGUGAAAUCCGUUGAUAUCAUGGGGAAUACCAAAUGCGAAGGCAAUUUGCUGGCGCACUCCUGACACUGAAACACGAAAGCGUAGGUAGCGAAUGGG
Molecule: ribosomal RNA, 253 nt
Filed under: uncultured bacterium
Lineage: Bacteria
Description: partial 16S ribosomal RNA
Rfam family: Bacterial small subunit ribosomal RNA
Source: RNAcentral